Hippocampus zosterae (dwarf seahorse) is the source of this 1101-nucleotide long non-coding RNA. RefSeq lists it as uncharacterized. The transcript has 2 exons. NCBI's taxonomy places the organism in Eukaryota, Metazoa, Chordata, Actinopteri, Syngnathiformes, Syngnathidae. The record is from RefSeq and is a predicted model, not a curated record.
UCCAGCUGGCCAUAUAGAAAGAGAGAGACAUUGGCAAAAAAAAAAAGUGAUGCAAAUUGACAGCUACAACAAAGUACAAAAUGCAUUUCAUUAUUUGUUUUCUUUCAGAUACAUCGCAUUUGGAGCAAUUGGGAAGAUGAUCACAACAACGGAGUCCGUGUUUUUAGUCCAUUCCCUUGCAGAAUGGCUCUCAAACAAGCAAUCCAUGCAAAUGCAUGCCGGAAUGGGUGAGGAAGGAAAGUCGGGGCAUGAGAACAAAAGCGGAUGCAUCUAUCUCUCCUAUUUGAAGGUGUGUUGGGGCCAUCUAGUGACAUGUAGAAGUAAUGCAAGCCAGCUCAUCUGUGCAACUCACCUUUUCAACCCUUCCACUAUUGAUAUCGGAUGGCAGAAUUUGUCUUCCAAUCGGUCUGAGAUCCGUCUGCAAAAGAAAUGUUGCUUAGCUGCAAAAAUGGAGACGGCUGACACCAGCAACAAUUAACCUUUGCUCAUCUUUGAAUGAUUUGCUUUCACUGGAAUGUGUAGUAGAAGGACAACGAUCUGCUUUAUGCAAACAUCACCCCCCCCCCCCCCCCGACCCCCACCCCAAGGCUGGAUGUACAAAAAGGUAACCUGAAGCCACUGCAUCUGAUGUCUUGGCUGUGUGCUAAAACUCUCACAACUUCAGACAUCUCUUGCAUCAAGUAGAACUAAUCCCAGAGCACCAAACUUAAAACAAAAAAAUGGGUUUACGGUCGGUGAACACCAAGUUUCAGCUAAAUCUAUGCAAUAUAUCCCAAGAAAUGGCGGUACUUGAAAUAUAUGAAAUAUUGAAACGAUACUGUUUGUUCUGUUGGGUUGAGGUGAAGAUCAUACACAUUAAAAUCUCUCACGCAUGUCUUGAUGGAUGUUGCUUUGUGCAUUGGUGCAUCAAUCAGGAAGUUGAGAGCAUGAAGUUCCAGGAAAUCUGAAGGCAUUUGGCAUGUCAAGAGAUUUGGGCUUGGGGAUGGCAAACUAUCUGUUCCAACGUCCUUGCCCAUUGUAGAGGGAUCGAUUCAGACUUGGUUUCAGAAGAUGUGUAAAAUUAAGUAACUUGACUCUGACUCGAGUAAAAAAAAAAAACAA